ACACAAGCUAUCGCUGACUGCCGGUGCAUGUUGGAAAUGGGCCACAGGGCUGGGCAUGAUAUGAGCUGCCUGGACAUUGGAGGGGGCUUCCCCGGAAUGGAGGGCUCCGGGCCCAAGUUUGAGGAGCAGUUGAGAACAACAAGCAAUAACAACCAUACGAAGAAUCUAGCAAACUCAGACUUUACUUCUCCUUUUCGUGGUCCUGGAAACAGCUCAGAAUAAAGUGGAUCUGGACCUCUACAGAAGAGAGGGAGCUCCAGAUUCCAGGUAACUCACGCCGUUGCACUCAGUGGCUCCUCCGGAGUCCAUUUGAACACAAUGAGUUCGUGCUGAUACCAAGCACCAAGUGCCAAGAAUGAGUUCUGGGUGUCUGCGGAUCCUGCUGGAAUUCUGCCGAGUAUGCUAUCUGUUGACCCAAAAGCAAGGUUUCUCUGCCCAGACAUGCAGGAUUUCUUCAGCAAAGCAAAAGCCCUGCAGAUUACCAGAUCCAUCCUCUCCUAAAGCCAGA
RNAcentral lists this long non-coding RNA (508 nucleotides) under Homo sapiens (human). RNAcentral describes it as "long intergenic non-protein coding RNA 1226". The record is from RNAcentral. Lineage: Eukaryota; Metazoa; Chordata; Mammalia; Primates; Hominidae.